This is a long non-coding RNA of Oncorhynchus gorbuscha (pink salmon), 591 nucleotides long. RefSeq lists it as uncharacterized. The transcript is spliced from 3 exons. The record is from RefSeq and is a predicted model, not a curated record. NCBI's taxonomy places the organism in Eukaryota, Metazoa, Chordata, Actinopteri, Salmoniformes, Salmonidae.
GAUUCGCGGUUAAUCAAUCAUCGCGCCGCCUUAAUGACGUCCCGCUGCUCCCCUAAUGUCUUCUGGCAGGGGCAGCCGCCGCUGGCUCGGAGCUCACGCAGGCACACAUAUGGCCGCCGCGAGUGAGUGACAGGACCCCUUUUGCGCGUGGCGCCCCGCACGCCGGAUGCCAUCAGCCACACACAGCCGCCGCCGGCAAGGAGUGAAACGGUGGAGGAAAAGGAGAGGAGAGAGCCUUAUGAGUCCUGCCUGCCUGCCUGCCUGCUUCGCUGGGCUCCACUGUCAAAAAAUGGUAGGUAGUGGAAAGGUUAGAGCGGGUCAAAUCCUCAGGUCCGACAGGAGAAUAUGGUGGCAGUGAGCCGGUGAUGGUUUCUGGCAUCAAUCUCCUAGAUGCCGUCCUCUGCCGUUGUGCCCUUGAGCAAGUGUGCCAGGGGUACACUGCAACACUAAGAUAUAAUUCCACCAGAUAGGUCCGCCAGAUCAGAGGCAGUAGGGAUGACCAAGGAUGUUCUCUUGAUAGGCUCUCCAGAGGAUGGUGGUGCGGUCUGCACAACGCAUCACUGGGGUCAAACUACUUUCCCUCCAUGACAC